AGCAUGGAAACAAACUCUCAGAGGAACAUUACAAAGGAACAGAUGAGUCUGCUGGAAACAUCACACUACAGCUGACAAAACGAGCAGAAGAACUGCAGCAACCAGAGAAAAGCAGUUUCUCCUCAUGGAUCAAAGGAAAGAUCAACCCACAGUCUCAAGCUUACAGCGGCCAUUUUGACAUUAUUCAAGAUGAUGGUAAAGUGGUCAAAGUGAAGUCAAAGAACCAGAAUUGUUUCUAUCAUGCAGUUGUACAAGCAACUGGAAGUGACCCAAGUGAUCUUAAAGGAGCUGCUGUGGAACUUCGUGAGAGAGUGAAAAAUGAAGUUCAGGAAAACCUUGCUGCAUACGCACCGAUUCUUCAGCUUCAGAGAGGCUAUGAUGACUCCCACGAAAACCCU
Long non-coding RNA from Scomber japonicus (chub mackerel), 398 nucleotides. RefSeq lists it as uncharacterized. Lineage: Eukaryota; Metazoa; Chordata; Actinopteri; Scombriformes; Scombridae. The transcript has 3 exons. The record is from RefSeq and is a predicted model, not a curated record.